RNAcentral lists this ribosomal RNA (1527 nucleotides) under Sesame phyllody phytoplasma 'sarvestan'. RNAcentral describes it as "bacterial SSU rRNA". It matches the Rfam family "Bacterial small subunit ribosomal RNA". Lineage: Bacteria; Bacillati; Mycoplasmatota; Mollicutes; Acholeplasmatales; Acholeplasmataceae. The record is from RNAcentral.
AAGAGUUUGAUCCUGGCUUAGGAUUAACGCUGGCGGCGCGCCUAAUACAUGCAAGUCGAACGGAAACCUUCGGGUUUUAGUGGCGAACGGGUGAGUAACACGUAAGCAACCUGCCUUUAAGACGUGGAUAACAAUUGGAAACAGUUGCUAAGACAGGAUAGGAAAUUAAGAGGCAUCUUUUAAUUUUUAAAAGACCUUUUUCGAAAGGUAUACUUAAAGAGGGGCUUGCGCCACAUUAGUUAGUUGGUAAGGUAAAGGCUUACCAAGACGAUGAUGUGUAGCUGGACUGAGAGGUCGAACAGCCACAUUGGGACUGAGACACGGCCCAAACUCCUACGGGAGGCAGCAGUAAGGAAUUUUUGGCAAUGGAGGAAACUCUGACCGAGCGACGUCGCGUGAACAAUGAAGUACUUCGGUAUGUAAAGUUCUUUUAUUGAAAAAGAAAAAAUAGUGGAAAAACUAUCUUGACAUUAUUCAAUGAAUAAGCCCCGGCUAAUUAUGUGCCAGCAGCCGCGGUAAUACAUAAGGGGCGAGCGUUAUCCGGAAUUAUUGGGCGUAAAGGGUGCGUAGGCGGUUUGAUAAGUCUAUAGUUUAAAUGCAGUGCUUAACGCUGUAGCGCUAUAGAAACUGUCUGACUAGAGUUAGAUAGAGGCAAGCGGAAUUCCAUGUGUAGCGGUAAAAUGCGUAAAUAUAUGGAGGAACACCAGAGGCGUAGGCGGCUUGCUGGGUCUUAACUGACGCUGAGGCACGAAAGCGUGGGGAGCAAACAGGAUUAGAUACCCUGGUAGUCCACGCCGUAAACGAUGAGUACUAAGUGUCGGGUUUCGGCUCGGUACUGAAGUUAACACAUUAAGUACUCCGCCUGAGUAGUACGUACGCAAGUAUGAAACUUAAAGGAAUUGACGGGACCCCGCACAAGCGGUGGAUCAUGUUGUUUAAUUCGAAGAUACACGAAAAACCUUACCAGGUCUUGACAUAAUUUUGCGACAUUAUAGAAAUAUAAUGAAGGUUAUCAGAAUUACAGGUGGUGCAUGGUUGUCGUCAGCUCGUGUCGUGAGAUGUUAGGUUAAGUCCUAAAACGAGCGCAACCCUUGUCGUUAGUUGCGACCACGUAAUGGUGAGCACUUUAGCGAGACUGCCAAUGAAAAAUUGGAGGAAGGUGAGGAUUACGUCAAAUCAUCAUGCCCCUUAUGAUCUGGGCUACAAACGUGAUACAAUGGCUGUUACAAAGAGUAGCUACAACGUGAGUUUUUAGCCAAUCUCAAAAAAACAGUCUCAGUUCGGAUUGAAGUCUGCAACUCGACUUCAUGAAGUUGGAAUCGCUAGUAAUCGCGAAUCAGCAUGUCGCGGUGAAUACGUUCUCGGGGUUUGUACACACCGCCCGUCAAACCACGAAAGUUGAUAAUACCCGAAAGCGGUCGCCUAACUUCGUCAGAAGAGGGAGCCGUCUAAGGUAGGAUCGAUGAUUGGGGUUAAGUCGUAACAAGGUAUCCCUACCGGAAGGUGGGGAUGGAUCACCUCCUUUCU